AAUACAAUUUUAUAUACAAAAGGAAUUGAAACUUAGUAAUUAAAUUCCUAGAAACUUCAAAACAUGAAGAAAGAUUACUAUUCUAUUUACCAUCACAUCUUUUUUCUUUUUCUGCAGGGAAGCAGGGGUCUCAGUGUACUUACCGGUGAGAAGUUCAGCAUGCAGUGAACCUAAGGUCAGAAGAACAUUUUUUCCAGAUGAGAGGAGGUUGUUAAUUGUCUAAUCAUUAUUAUUAUUGAUUUGUGUUACCAUAAGUUCCUGUAUUUAAUUAGUUUCUCCUUUUUUUUUCCCCUAGGAAGAAUCUGUCUGUGUUUACUCCAAUUUUUGUUUUGUGCUAAUCCUCACCAAUACAGUUUUGUUCUGUGGUCAGUUGAGUAGUUGGGCAGCUCUUCUUGUUGCUCACCAAGCCUCAGCCUACUGGGUGAUAUCUACAUACCCUGUGGAAAAUAAUUUCCAUUUUCUCCCUAAGAAACCUCAUGGGUACAGUGCUCAGUACAUCUGAGGUCUCUUAUCUAACUGAAGUCCAAUUCUCACUGUACAGCUUCUACUUCACUAAGCUGUGAAUAUAUUGUUUAUUCAUAAAUAAUGCUCUUGUGUACAUAAUACAUAAACAAUGCUCUUGUGUAGAUAAUACACACCUAAGGCAGGUGUUCCUUCUUAAUAUCUUCAGGAAUUACUGUGUCCAAAACUACACUGGGAUUUACUGCCGGCUCCUUACUUGGACCCAGACCUGCCAUACUUUGAUGGCAUUGUUCCCAUGGGUGAUGGCUGUUCCUGGUCUCUUCUUUGUGCUUCCAGUGCUUCAGCAGCUGAGUAUCUGGUUAGUUUAUUCUCCUACACUCUUGUGAGUAUAGGAGACACUCUGCGAUGACUCCUGAGUUACUUUUCAAUGAUUACAAUGGAGAUUUUUGCCAGUGCAAGCAUUUUUUCUCUGUCUUUUAGAUCUGUGUGCUUACUGUUUUGGACAAUUAAAUUCCUUUGGCUUUCAGGAAUGGCCAUCAGAAGAGACUCUGAGGGCCCUGUAGCUUUGUGAUCAGGCACUGAGGAAGGAUCAUCCAAAAGCAGCUUCUCCUCAUAAUUUUGUUGCCCUUUACCCAGUGCUUUCCUCUGGCAAUGGAGGAAAUUUAAUGGCAAUCCACCAUUAAAUACUGCAGGACCUGCAGGACCCAGGGAACCAUUACCUGAGUGCUGCAAAGAUAUUGUCUGCAUAUCUUCAUGGUUGUACCUUCAUUUCAGGGUGUCCUUUGUAUGGGAGUGCUGUGGCUAAAGGUGACAGUUUUGAGUGGUGAAAGCCAAAAGUGACUUUGUCUUUGGGUUUUUAGCCGUGGUUGGUGUUCAGAUAAUUAAGCAAUUUAACAGUUGAGAGAGAAUAUUGUCUACACUGAAGCAUUACCAAUAUGGCAAAUAGAACACUGUGUUGAGCCAACCUCAGUUAUCUUUUCCUUUUUGAUAUUCCAUACUGAUGGGCUCAGAGGGGCAGCUACCUGCUUGGUGCUGUGCUUUGCCAAAAAAUCCUUUGGAAGAACACAUGCUAAUAAACCCCUGACACUAUGUUGACUUUUCCUGCAGGACUUCACAAAGGUAAAUUUGACUAGUUGUCAAGUGAAAGUAACUCAGUACUUCCAAGAAGCAAAUUCUCUGGUAUCACUUGGGCACUUACUUGUUGCCUGCUGAACGGGGUUACUGGGAGUGGCCAGGGACUCCCCAGCUCUGCUGGACAAGUCACAGCAUUCCUGGGAACACAAGUGUGGUUCUGAAUGCACCCAUAUGUACCAGUGUGCACAAGGCAACACAUUCACAAUCUCCCCGUUCAAACAAAAGUAUAACCAAACUUCCCACAGGGAUCCUCCCACUGGCUUACAUCUCUGAGUUAAGAUGUAACAUCACAUGCCAAAGAGUGUGUUGCUGCCUUGCUCCCUGCUUUGUACAGACAGAUAUGACACUAGACACUGCCUAGUGUAAGUAAGGUAAGUUGCAGCCAUUCAUUAUUUAUCCCUCUCAGUCUCUACAAGGUAAGAUUUCCCUUUGGAUUUUAAACUUAGCUGACCUGUCUGAAGCACUUUGACCUCUCUUGCUGCAGGGCCUGAGUGCUUUUAUGCCUGAAAUGUCACACAACUCACAACCCCGCAUGCCUUGGAGCAGCACAACUGCCCCUCCUGCACUGGCAAAACUGGGAAUGUUGGAUGGUAAGAGCCCUGCCAGACAAGUCCACAAAGUAGAAAGCCGGACUACUGAGAAGAUGUAUGAGCCACAUGUCCUCCUGCUGUGUUCUUUUUCUGCCCUUACAGUUUCAAGAUAUUCUUCAUAAUAAAAUUUAAGGACAAUUAAAUGUCUUUCCAAACAGCAAGAUAUCAGCCAGAGGCAAAGUUCCCUAGUGCCCAGCUCCAGUGUGAGCUUUCAGACUGAGCCUUGUCUUCUCCCUGAAGCUCUGGGUUUCUCCAGUGUCAGAUUAAAAAAAAAAAAAAAAAAAAUUAAGAGUGUUUAGUUCCUAUCAAGAAAGCCAUAUCAUAUUUACACUGUCAGAUGUAUCAGCCAUGACUGAAAAACCGGAAAGUCCUACAGUGAGGGAGCUGACCAGAGCUUUCAACAUGUUAUUUAAUAAUGGGUUUUAUUUGUUUUGUAGAUUUCGGCUACACAGACAAAACACAGCCAGUUAAAAAAAUAAAAUUUUAAAAAGUCUGAAAAA
This is a long non-coding RNA of Motacilla alba alba, 2686 nucleotides long. RefSeq lists it as uncharacterized. The transcript has 2 exons. The record is from RefSeq and is a predicted model, not a curated record. Lineage: Eukaryota; Metazoa; Chordata; Aves; Passeriformes; Motacillidae.